GAAAAUAAAAUAAACUUUUUAAAUUACAAAUACAAUCAAGCACAAAUAAUACCCAUCUGAAUAACUAAGAACUAAGAUCAGAAUUAAUAAUUUAGUAGGUAAACAAGAAAAGGAAAUGGAACUGCUGAGAACAGAUGAGUUUGGCGUAGAAUAUUGGUUCAAUUUGUAACCAGUUGGAAAUCGAACCAGCCAACCUCCCAACAAACCAAAUAAUAGAAAACGUGGUAGAGUGGUAGAGAUGGAUCAUUACUUCACCAAGCAUGGGCUAUUCAAUAAUUUAGUAUUUCUGUUAUUUCACUGAGAUAUGAGAAUCUGGAAAAGUAUAGAUAAGGUUAAUAAUGAUGAAGACCCACCAAAAGAUUUAAACUUUGAUACAAUCACAGGACCAAACCAGCACGAAAGGGGAAAAGAAUUAUGAAAGAACGGUCCGGGCCUCACAAGCCGCCAACAGAUUUAUAUCAGUGGUACUCAAAUCGGAAUAAAACAAAUGACGUUUCUUUGCCUUUUCUGCUUCUAGAAAGUCCCUACUUAACAAAAAACCAACAAUGCAGCGGGUUGCAACCAGCACCCACAGGAACAUGGAUAAUGUGGCAUGCAUGACAAAGAAGAGAGACACGUAUGGAAGGAACGGAAAAUGAAAGGAACAGCGCAAUAGCGCACGUCAAGAUUUAGUCCUUUAUAUCAACUUGAUCAACAACAACUAGCAGUAUUACAAGAAACCAUUAACCACACAAUGAUGGUUAAAUAAAGAUCAUUUUAAUGCAGUCAUGAACUAAUGAAAAUAAGCAAGUAUCAAAGGAGAUAUAAAAUGCGAGGAAGAAGGUUCAUCACGUCAGGAAUAGUUAUUGAAUGAGGCUUGUCAAAGUAAAGUGACUGCUCCUCAGAACGUACAAUUUUAAUCCUAGUGAUGUCACAAUGAUAAAUUGAUGAUUCUCAUAAAUGAGAUGGAUGAUACCUUGAUUUUCAGAAAUACUUCACGAUCCCAGUACAAACAAUAGUCAACAUGGAAGCAACAAGUGAUACUGAAGAUGUUCGGUCCCUGGUUACCCUGCGGCAAACAGAUAUAUAACCAAGCAGGUAAAAGCUCAACUGAAACAGCGGAGCAUGAGAAAUACCUCCAAAUUUCAACGAAGAAAACUGGAUAGGUAUUAUCUAGAUAAUGUAUCUCCAUCAUCUUGAACUAAGCUACUGAAGAUAAAGAUAGGUACGAUAGAUGUUAGUUGUACAACUAAAAUCUUACAAAUCUCAACUACUAGUAAAAUAUGUAGAAACUAAAUUCAAUGAAGGGGAAAUAAGUAGCUAAAUGAUAAAUCAUAAUUCCAGUAAAAAUAUGCAAGGGACAGCAAUGCAGAUAAUAUAUGGAAGGAGAACUGAAAAAAAUUCUCAUGCAAAAAUCAUAAAGAUAGACAGCUAUGCAUAAAUGAUUUCAUAAUACCUGAAUGUCAGGUCACUUCAGGUAG
Molecule: long non-coding RNA, 1460 nt
Filed under: Gossypium barbadense (sea-island cotton)
Lineage: Eukaryota; Viridiplantae; Streptophyta; Magnoliopsida; Malvales; Malvaceae
Description: long non-coding RNA (GBAR_LNC021403)
Source: RNAcentral